AACGAACGCUGGCGGCGCGCUUAACACAUGCAAGUCGAACGAGAAGGCGUAGCAAUACGCUUGUACAGUGGCGAACGGGUGAGUAAUACGUGGGCGACCUACCCUCGAGUGGGGAAUAACCCGCCGAAAGGCGGGCUAAUGCCGCGUACGCUUCCAUCUUUAUGGAGGUGGAAGGAAAGCCGUGCCGUGGGCACGGCGCUCAAGGAUGGGCUCACGUCCUAUCAGCUUGNGGUAGGUAACGGCUACCAAGGCUCCGACGGGUAGCUGGUCUGAGAGGACGAUCAGCCACACUGGCACUGCGACACGGGCCAGACUCCUACGGGAGGCAGCAGUGAGGAAUAUUGCGCAAUGGGCGAAAGCCUGACGCAGCGACGCCGCGUGGGGGAU
RNAcentral lists this ribosomal RNA (387 nucleotides) under uncultured bacterium. RNAcentral describes it as "bacterial SSU rRNA". It matches the Rfam family "Bacterial small subunit ribosomal RNA", at positions 29 to 409 of the family's 1533-position model. The record is from RNAcentral.